This 638-nucleotide ribosomal RNA is filed under the name uncultured bacterium. RNAcentral describes it as "bacterial SSU rRNA". It matches the Rfam family "Bacterial small subunit ribosomal RNA", at positions 93 to 740 of the family's 1533-position model. The record is from RNAcentral.
AAGUGGCGAAAGGGGCAGUAAUGCGUGGGUAACCUACCCCGGGGACCGGGAUAGCCACCCUAACGGGUGGGUAAUACCGGGCGAUGUAGCGAGAUCGCCUGAUUUUGCUAUGAAACGAAUUUCGCCUCGGGAGGGGCUCACGUGGUAUUAGCUAGUUGGUGGGGUAACGGCCUACCAAGGCGAAGAUACCUAGCAGGUGUGAGAGCACGACCUGCGCCACUGGCACUGAGACACUGGCCAGACUCCUACGGGAGGCUGCAGUCGAGGAUCUUCGGCAAUGGGCGCAAGCCUGACCGAGCGACGCCGCGUGCGCGAUGAAGGCCUUCGGGUUGUAAAGCGCUGUCGAGGGGGAGGAAAGCCGUAAGGUCUGACCUAUCCCUGGAGGAAGCACGGGCUAAGUUCGUGCCAGCAGCCGCGGUAAGACGAACCGUGCAAACGUUGUUCGGAAUCACUGGGCUUAAAGGGCGCGUAGGCGGGCGGCCAAGUCAGGGGUGAAAUCUUUCGGCUUAACCGGAAAAUAGCCUUUGAUACUGGUUGUCUAGAGCGAGGUAGGGGCAUGUGGAACUUCCGGUGGAGCGGUGAAAUGCGUCGAUAUCGGAAGGAACGCCGGUGGCGAAAGCGACGUGCUGGACCUCUUC